This 253-nucleotide ribosomal RNA is filed under the name uncultured bacterium. RNAcentral's name for it is "partial 16S ribosomal RNA". It matches the Rfam family "Bacterial small subunit ribosomal RNA", at positions 524 to 776 of the family's 1533-position model. The record is from RNAcentral.
UACGAAGGGUGCAAACGUUGCUCGGAAUCAUUGGGCGUAAAGCGCACGUAGGCGGCUUCGCAAGUCGGAUGUGAAAUCCCUCGGCUCAACCGAGGACGUGCAUCCGAAACUGCGGGGCUUGAGUACAGAAGAGGAUCGCGGAAUUCCCGGUGUAGAGGUGAAAUUCGUAGAUAUCGGGAGGAACACCAGUGGCGAAGGCGGCGAUCUGGGCUGAUACUGACGCUGAGGUGCGAAAGCGUGGGGAGUAAACAGG